UGCCUCCAGGCAAAAUGAGGCUGUUCUCUAUCAAGGGGAAGGAGGCAGCUACUGCUGGUCAGGAGGAUUCAAGGGUUCUGGGGCCCAAGGUUCUUAGCUUCCUCCACAUCUUUCAAGUGCCAAAGCUACUACAUGAGCCAAGUUUUCUCUUCAACUUCUCUCUCCUUCCAAUCUACCAAAGACUAGCCCUGAGCUAACUACUGCCAAUCCUCCUCUUUUUGCUGAGGAAGACUGGCCCUGAGCUAACAUCCAUGCCCAUCGUCCUCUACUUUAUACGUGGGAUGCCUACCACAGCAUGGCUUAUUGCCAAGCCGUGCCAUGUCCAUACCCGGGAUCCGAACCAGCGAACCACGGGCCGCAGAGAAGUGCAACGGGUGAACUUAACCACUGCGCCACCGGGCUGGCCCUGACAAUUUUUAUACAAAGUA
This 428-nucleotide long non-coding RNA is filed under the name Equus asinus (donkey). Its description in RNAcentral is "lncRNA (ENSEASG00005033057.1)". Lineage: Eukaryota; Metazoa; Chordata; Mammalia; Perissodactyla; Equidae. The record is from RNAcentral.